AUGCAAAAACAUCCCUCUGGUCCUCAUGUUUUCUCUUCGGAUCCUUCUCAGAUCCCCAAUCCUCCAUCGGCCCUCUCGACCUCUCCAGCCGGCGAGCGACGCUGUCGGCGGUCCAGGCCAGAUCCGGUGUUGGCUCCCCUCCACAGCUUCUUCUCCCUGCCUCCUGUCUUCCACUCCGGCUUCAAGGUCGCGUGGAUCCGCCUCCCGGCCAGGCCCAACGUCGCGCGGCGCAUCAUCGCAGGGAUUCGUCGGCCGUCGCUAGUCGUCCUUGCCGAUGGCCGCUGGCGCCUCGGGCACAGCUGCCUAGGUCACCAUCUGGCCUCCACCAUGCCGGACUCCGACGGGUUCGCGACAGAUCCGAAGACCCGCGGCACAGAGUUGUUAGAGAAUACGCAGCCCCGACGGCUACACGCGCCAGCUCUUCUUCCUGACUCCAUCCCCUCACUGGCUCAGUAUCAAGGAGAUUGA
RNAcentral lists this ribosomal RNA (468 nucleotides) under Triticum aestivum (bread wheat). RNAcentral describes it as "partial small subunit ribosomal RNA". The record is from RNAcentral. Lineage: Eukaryota; Viridiplantae; Streptophyta; Magnoliopsida; Poales; Poaceae.